RNAcentral lists this ribosomal RNA (460 nucleotides) under uncultured bacterium. RNAcentral describes it as "partial 16S ribosomal RNA". It matches the Rfam family "Bacterial small subunit ribosomal RNA", at positions 338 to 795 of the family's 1533-position model. The record is from RNAcentral.
CCUACGGGUGGCAGCAGUGAGGAAUAUUGGUCAAUGGGCGUGAGCCUGAACCAGCCAAGUCGCGUGAGGGAUGACGGCUCUACGGAUUGUAAACCUCUUUUAUAAGGGAAUAAAGUGUGGGACGUGUCCCGUUUUGUAUGUACCUUAUGAAUAAGGAUCGGCUAACUCCGUGCCAGCAGCCGCGGUAAUACGGAGGGUCCGGGCGUUAUCCGGAUUUAUUGGGUUUAAAGGGAGCGUAGGCCGGUCUUUAAGUGUGCGGUGAAAUUUUGGGGCUCAACCAUGAGACUGCGGUGCGAACUGGGUACCUUGAGUGCGGUGGAGGUAGGCGGAAUGCGUGGUGUAGCGGUGAAAUGCUUAGAUAUCACGAAGAACCCCGAUUGCGAAGGCAGCCUACCGCAGCGUUACUGACGCUGAUGCUCGAAAGCGUGGGUAUCGAACAGGAUUAGAUACCCUAGUAGUC